UUGCACACGCCAUUAAUCUAAGUCUCUCUCCCGCAAGAGAAAUUAUACAUGUGUGCGAGAGAGGUCUCCGUCUUCGCCCUCUUCUUCUCGCCUGUCCUGCCUCAUAGUAUUCUUUGCUUAGGGUUUUGAUCAUGGAAAGACACAGAGGAGACCAUCAACGGCAUCACGAGCUUCAGCAUCCCAACUUUAACCAGCACCACCCCGACCAGAACCAAUUCAACAACCACAACCACAGCCAUUAUAAUUACGACUCUAAUCAGCAGAUGAGUGGUGAAGCUAACGAGCCAUUUAGUGGUGGAUUAUUCCGCCCCAAUGGCCGCAAAAGAGGCCGAUUCCAUUCUUCAGAUUACGGUGAUGGUGGUGUUAAUGCAAAGCUUUAUGUCGCACCAAUUCCAAGAACAACGACUGAAGAAAAUAUCCGCUCUUUGUUUGGAGAACAUGGAAGUGUUGUUGAGGUUGUUUUACCCCGGGAUAAGCGGACUGGGCAGCAACAAGCAUAUUGUUUUGUGAAAUACACAACAUUUGAAGAAGCUGACAGGGCUAUUAGGGCUUUGCAUAAUCAGCAUACGAUUCCUGGGGAAGUGGUUCCAUUUAAAGUCAGAUAUGCUGAUGGAGAACGGGAACGGGAACGCCCAGUUCCCCGCUGUUCCGUGGUAGGGGGAUUUGUGGACAAGCUCUAUGUUGGUUCUAUAAACAAGCUGGCUUCAAAACAGGAAAUUGAGGAGAAGAUAUUUUCUCCAUAUGGUUAUGUGGAAGAUGUCUACAUUGCACGUGAUGAGCUGAAGCAAAGUCGUGGAUGUGCAUUUGUUAAGUUUGCUCACAGAGAUAUGGCACUGGCAGCAAUCAAAGGAUUAAAUGGAACUCUUACCAUGAGAGGGUGUGAUCAGCCAUUGAUUGUUCGUUUUGCAGAUCCCAAAAAACCUAAGACUGGAGAAUUAAGAGGCAGUUAUGCAUUUGGUGGUCCAAAUUUUGGUCCCUGCUUUCAACAACCAAUGAUCAGGCCAGCACCUGGGUGUGUUUUGCCUAACGCUUCAUUUUCUAUGCAACAAACCUCAACGACUGGAGUUCCACAAGCUGUUGCCCAUGCAGCAAAACAGGAACUUGCAUCUCCUCAUAUCACAGAGCAACCACUUUCUUCAGUAAAGCACUCGCCUUCACAGUUGUCUCAGAUGCCACUACAGCAUAUGCAGGCUCCAGAGAAAUGUUUUCCAUCACCUCAACAAACAAUUUUUGAGACACAUAAACAGACCCAAAUUUUAGAGCAGCAGCAGAAUCAACAGAUUGCCCUGCAGGAGCAUGUUUUCCUGCAGCCAACUUGGGCUGGAAACACUCAACCAGCUAGUUGUAACUCUGUCACCUCUGCAGUGCCUCCCAGUCCCCAAAUCGUGGAUCCAGGAGAGUGUGAUUGGAGUGAGCAUUUCUGCCCAGAUGGAUACAAGUACUAUUAUAAUUGUAUCACCAAUGAAAGUAGAUGGGAGAAGCCUGUGGAGAUCACCUUAUUUCUGCAACAAUUCCAGGAACAGAAAAGGCUGCAUGGUUCAAACCAGCAAUCUUCCCUCUCGCCAGUUUGUUCUGCUGAGGAAGUUGAUCAAACACAUAAGGAACUAGAUCGUAUGCAAAUACAAUCAGAAACAAGUCCUGUUAUUGAUCCCUCCUGUGUUUAACAGGAGAUUAGGUUGCUCAAAGUGGCUGUCUGAAGUUAUUUCUUUGGUUUUAUCUAUUCUUCUGAGUUCUGCCUCCCUAAUAUUGUCAGCCUGGCAAGUAUUUCAGAUAACAGGAUUUAGCUGUAAGCUUCAUAUUUCAUGCGUGGAAGGUCUUGGAGGUUCUGGAUUUAUGGCCUUAUUCUGUAGAACUGUGGACCUCUGAUUAAAUGUAAAAACAUAUUUGAGGCUAUCAUCUUCCCUUCAUUUCUCAUGUGACCAUUUGUAGAUGUGCACUUCUGGAAAUCAGGCAUCAUAAGUAGCAUUCCUAGGAGAACUAGUGGAAAGCAUAGAUGGCAUGCAUUUGGGUAUUUAGUGAGUUAUUCUGAGUACAUCUUCCAGGAAUACAUAAUUUAGUUGUUUCUUGCUGAGUUUGUGGCCUACGUUGCUGUGAAGGGCAUUGCUACCUGAUAUUCCCUCCCUGGCUGCAGCAUUGUGCACUUUUAAAGCUUCAGUACUGAGUCGGUAGGUGUCGUCAAGAGUAAUGUAAUCUUCAAUAACAUGUAAAUCAAAUUGCCUUUAUAACUGUACACUUUGCUGUAUGAAACGAUGAGAUGAGUUGAUGGCAAGUUAUCAUGUGUGUAUGCUUUUAAGGCUCUGAUAAUGUAUAACUAUUGAUGGAAGGUUGAGGCAAGAAGGUUUAUGAAGGUUUCUUGGAUCAUUAAU
Molecule: RNA transcript, 2366 nt
Organism: Populus euphratica (Euphrates poplar)
Lineage: Eukaryota; Viridiplantae; Streptophyta; Magnoliopsida; Malpighiales; Salicaceae
Gene name: flowering time control protein-related / FCA gamma-like protein
Exons: 18
Source: RefSeq, a predicted model, not a curated record